GGAAGGGGACGGAAUAGGACAAGAGGAUGAAGAGGAUAUGGGAAAGUGUGGGAGUAUUGGGAAACUAAAAUCCCAAUCCAGAACGCAAUAAUAAAAAUCCUGAUAGCCUUUUCUUCUUUUUAGUAACUAUGAAUCAAAGGAAGCCGUACUGAUACGCUAUUCUCUUCAUUUAGAUCACUGCAAGAUUUUCUCUUCCUUCCCUGCUCCAAGGCCACACUAAUCCAUUGCAAGAACCCCGCUCUUUUCCUUUUAGCUCUCUCUCUCUAUCUCUGUCUCUGCUCCACAAACAUACAUUAAACACUCUCAGAUGCAAAGCUUCAAGCAUAUUCCUCACCCUGAAAAGUACUGCCACUCUUCCUUCUCUCUCCGAGGAGAAGAUGGUAACCGAAACCAGACACGUUUUCCGGAUCUUGGAGAUCUUGAUCAACCAGCUGCUGCUUUUCAUCACUAUGAUGCUGUUGAUUUAAGCUCAAGUAUUCUUGUUUCUUCCUCAUCUACUUCCCUCUCUUUCUUUUUCCUGAUAUGUAUAUUUAUAUAUUUAUGAAUAUGAAUCUUUUACGUCUGGAAAGUUCAGUUUCUCUAACUACUUGUGGUAUUUAAAUGGCUUUUGAGGCUCCAUGUUCAGUUUUAAAUGGGGCAAUGUUGCUGUUUUGUCCAAUAACUUGCGAUAUGAUGCUGCCCUAAACACGAAUACUGGGUCUGCAGCGAUAGCAACAACAGGAACAGGGUGUUUGGACACAGGGCAAUACGUAUACCACAAGGGGACAACGUUGGGUUCCUCGUUGGGAAACGGGCAUAGUAUUGACAACUGGGGGGACUCAGGGAUGGCAGAUAGCAGCCAACAGACUGACACUUCUACAGAUGUUGAUGCUGAUGAUAGAAACCAGCUUCAUGGAGUCCAGCAUGGUCCUAUUGCGGUUGUGGAUUCCAUGGAUCAAUCCAAGGCAAAAGCUGGUGAUCAAAAGACUCUUCGAAGGCUGGCUCAGAAUCGUGAGGCUGCAAGGAAGAGUCGACUUAGGAAGAAAGCUUAUGUCCAGCAGCUCGAGAAUAGUCGACUCAGGCUUACACAAUUAGAGCAAGAGCUUCAAAGUGCUCGGCAGCAGAAUAUUUUUUUGGCAAGUGGAUUUUCAGGGAACCAUGGGGCUGGAUGUGGGGUUGUUGCAUUUGACAUGGACUAUGCACGGUGGCUUGAGGAACAUCAACGGUUGAUCAGUGAUCUAAGAGCAGCUGUCAAUUCUCAUAUGGGUGAUAAUGAAUUACACCUCCUUGUUACUGGUGUAAUGGCACAUUAUGAUGACAUAUUCCGGCUAAAGAGCAUUGGCACAAAGGCUGAUGUAUUCCACAUGCUUUCAGGCAUGUGGAUGACACCUGCUGAGAGGUGUUUCAUGUGGCUGGGUGGAUUCAGAUCUUCUGAGCUUCUUAAGAUACUUGGGAACCACAUUGAACCCUUGACAGAUCAACAGUUAAUGGGCAUAUGCAAUCUGCAACAGUCCUCCCAACAGGCUGAAGAUGCCUUGUCUCAAGGAAUGGAAGCUCUGCAACAAUCCCUUGCAGACACGCUUUCAUCCAACUCUCUGGGCUUUACUACUUCUGGAAAUGCGUCCGACUACAUGGGCCAAAUGGCAAUUGCAAUGGGCAAGCUUGCAACACUAGAGAACUUCCUUCACCAAGUAACAUCAUUUAGUGUAAUCAUGAUUAAAAUUCUUCACUUUAGAUUAUUGUCACAUCAUCAUUAUGAUAAUGAAUUGACUAAGAAUGCUGCAAUUUGUGUUGUAUCUAUUGCCAGGCUGAUCUUUUAAGGCAGCAAACUCUGCAACAAAUGCAUCGAAUUUUGACAACAAGUCAGGCUGCUAGAGCCCUUCUUGUUUUCAGUGAUUACACUUCGCGACUCCGGGCACUCAGCUCCUUAUGGCUAGCACGCCCUAGAGAUUGACAAUUCUCCCUAGCUAAUUGCUCCAGGGAUUUUCCAAUGCAGUAAAAGAUUAAUCUAUUUAUCCUCCAGGGAUACUCAGAAAAUGAUGACCUAACAUCAUUGGAACUGUUCUUUGACAGCCUUAUUUUACUUCUAAUUUGUCAAACCUGAAGUUCGGCAUCUUAUGGAAAUGACUCCAUUUAGAAUUACCAUGCUGAGUAGCAUCUUGAGGGUAGUUAGGGAUAGUAACCUUACAUAUGUAACCAACGCUUGUCCUCCUAGCUGUGGAUGGGACAAAAUUGACAAACCUCAUGAUCUGUCACUGAUCUGACAUGUUACAGUGUGCUAACAGGCACCUAAAUCAACCUUUUGGCUGUUCUCAAAAUCAGUGGUUCUGCUAGGAAUUCAUAAAGGUAUCAUUGUUAAAACAUUUCUGUCGACAUGCAUAUUUUUAGACUCUUUACAAGUCUGUCUAAGAGUAAUUUGAAACAGUUAUAUUUAGAUCUAUAAUUGGUGUAAUCGGUUUAUAUUCUUUACAUUACAAGGUACAAUUUCAUGUUAUGUUGAACAAUGUAAUGGCAUUUUGUUUAAUGACUAAAGGGCCACUUGCUU
Molecule: unclassified non-coding RNA, 2524 nt
Filed under: Hevea brasiliensis (rubber tree)
Lineage: Eukaryota; Viridiplantae; Streptophyta; Magnoliopsida; Malpighiales; Euphorbiaceae
Source: RNAcentral